AAGUCGUAACAAGGUUUCCGUAGGUGAACCUGCGGAAGGAUCAUUACCGAGAGAGGGAUUUUGCGUCCCCCGGGGAUUGCUACGGCACCCCAACUCUUCAACCCUGUGUCUACCAACCUUUGUUGCUUUGGCGAGUGUCGGGGCGCAAGCUUCGGCCCUGACCUCGGUCAGCGAGCCCUCGCCAGAGACCCAUCAUAACUCUGUUUUCAGUGGAGUCCGAGUAUACAAACGAAUAAAUCAAAACUUUCAACAACGGAUCUCUUGGUUCUGGCAUCGAUGAAGAACGCAGCGAAAUGCGAUAAGUAAUGUGAAUUGCAGAAUUCAGUGAAUCAUCGAAUCUUUGAACGCACAUUGCGCCCUUUGGUAUUCCGAGGGGCAUGCCUGUUCGAGCGUCAUUGCAACCCUCAAGCUUUGCUUGGUAUUGGGCCUUCGCCUUGCCUCCGGGGAGGGCGUGCCCGAAAAUCAGUGGCGGUCCAGGGAGACUUCAAGCGCAGUAAAACUUCCCGCCUUCGAAGGCCUCGCCUGUGGCUGAGCCGUGAAACCCCUCAAAUUUUCAAUGAUUGACCUCGGAUCAGGUAGGGAUACCCGCUGAACUUAAGCAUAUCAAUAAGCGGAGGAAAAGAAACCAACAGGGAUUGCCUUAGUAACGGCGAGUGAAGCGGCAACAGCUCAAAUUUGAAAUCUGGCUCCUUCCGGGGUCCGAGUUGUAAUUUGUAGAGGAUGUUUCGGGCGGAGCACCGGUCUAAGUCCCUUGGAACGGGGCGUCAUAGAGGGUGAGAAUCCCGUAUGUGACCGGUGACGAAGCCCAUGUGAAACUCCUUCGACGAGUCGAGUUGUUUGGGAAUGCAGCUCAAAAUGGGUGGUAAAUUUCAUCUAAAGCUAAAUACCGGCCAGAGACCGAUAGCGCACAAGUAGAGUGAUCGAAAGAUGAAAAGCACUUUGGAAAGAGAGUCAAAAAGUACGUGAAAUUGUUGAAAGGGAAGCGCUUGCAACCAGACCUGCCCGCGGGUGAUCAACCGUCCUUCUGGGCGGUGCACUCGCCCGUGAUCAGGCCAGCAUCGGUUCGGGCGGCCGGAUAAAGGCCCUGGGAACGUAGCUUCUUUCGGGGAGUGUUAUAGCCCUCGGUGCAAUGCGGCCAGCCUGGACCGAGGACCGCGCUUCGGCAAGGAUGCUGGCGUAAUGGUUGUAAGCGGUC
This 1195-nucleotide ribosomal RNA is filed under the name uncultured fungus. Its description in RNAcentral is "eukaryotic LSU rRNA". The stretch from base 562 to 1195 matches the Rfam family "Eukaryotic large subunit ribosomal RNA", at positions 1 to 649 of the family's 3401-position model. The record is from RNAcentral. Lineage: Eukaryota; Fungi.